UCCCGUAUAGCUCAUUCGAGAGAGCUUUAGGCUAAAAACCUAACGGUCCAGGGUUCGAGUCCCUGUUCGGGCG
This is a non-coding RNA of Uloborus diversus, 73 nucleotides long. The record is from the annotation of a RefSeq genome assembly. NCBI's taxonomy places the organism in Eukaryota, Metazoa, Arthropoda, Arachnida, Araneae, Uloboridae.